This 406-nucleotide ribosomal RNA is filed under the name uncultured bacterium. RNAcentral describes it as "partial 16S ribosomal RNA". It matches the Rfam family "Bacterial small subunit ribosomal RNA", at positions 30 to 526 of the family's 1533-position model. The record is from RNAcentral.
AUUGAACGCUGGCGGCAGGCCUAACACAUGCAAGUCGAACGAGUGGCGGACGGGUGAGUAAUGUCUGGGGAACUGCCUGAUGGAGGGGGAUAACUACUGGAAACGGUAGCUAAUACCGCAUACUAUCAGAUGUGCCCAGAUGGGAUUAGCUAGUUGGUGGGGUAACGGCUCACCAAGGCGACGAUCCCUAGCUGGUCUGAGAGGAUGACCAGCCACACUGGAACUGAGACACGGCCCAGACUCCUACGGGAGGCAGCAGUGGGGAAUAUUGCACAAUGGGCGAAAGCCUGAUGCAGCCAUGCCGCGGGUAUGAAGAAGGCCUUAGGGUUGUAAAGUACUUUCAGCGGGGAGGCGUUACCCGCAGAAGAAGCACCGGCUAACUCCGUGCCAGCAGCCGCGGUAAUAC